RNAcentral lists this ribosomal RNA (486 nucleotides) under uncultured bacterium. RNAcentral's name for it is "bacterial SSU rRNA". It matches the Rfam family "Bacterial small subunit ribosomal RNA", at positions 30 to 507 of the family's 1533-position model. The record is from RNAcentral.
AUUGAACGCUGGCGGAAUGCUUUACACAUGCAAGUCGAACGGCAGCAUAGGUGCUUGCACCUGAUGGCGAGUGGCGAACGGGUGAGUAAUACAUCGGAACGUGCCCAGUCGUGGGGGAUAACGUAGCGAAAGUUACGCUAAUACCGCAUACGAUCUACGGAUGAAAGCGGGGGACCGUAAGGCCUCGCGCGAUUGGAGCGGCCGAUGUUAGAUUAGGUAGUUGGUGGGGUAAAGGCUCACCAAGCCGACGAUCUAUAGCUGGUCUGAGAGGAUGAUCAGCCACACUGGGACUGAGACACGGCCCAGACUCCUACGGGAGGCAGCAGUGGGGAAUUUUGGACAAUGGGCGCAAGCCUGAUCCAGCCAUUCCGCGUGCAGGACGAAGGCCUUCGGGUUGUAAACUGCUUUUGUACAGAACGAAAAGCUCUGGGUUAAUACCCUGGGGUCAUGACGGUACUGUAAGAAUAAGCACCGGCUAACUACGUG